GAUGAACGCUGGCGGCGUGCCUAAUACAUGCAAGUCGAGCGAACAGACGAGGAGCUUGCUCCUCUGACGUUAGCGGCGGACGGGUGAGUAACACGUGGAUAACCUACCUAUAAGACUGGGAUAACUUCGGGAAACCGGAGCUAAUACCGGAUAAUAUAUUGAACCGCAUGGUUGAAUAGUGAAAGACGGUUUUGCUGUCACUUAUAGAUGGAUCCGCGCCGCAUUAGCUAGUUGGUAAGGUAACGGCUUACCAAGGCAACGAUGCGUAGCCGACCUGAGAGGGUGAUCGGCCACACUGGAACUGAGACACGGUCCAGACUCCUACGGGAGGCAGCAGUAGGGAAUCUUCCGCAAUGGGCGAAAGCUUGACGGAGCAACGCCGCGUGAGUGAUGAAGGUCUUCGGAUCGUAAAACUCUGUUAUUAGGGAAGAACAAAUGUGUAAGUAACUAUGCACGUCUUGACGGUACCUAAUCAGAAAGCCACGGCUAACUACGUG
This 497-nucleotide ribosomal RNA is filed under the name uncultured bacterium. RNAcentral describes it as "partial 16S ribosomal RNA". It matches the Rfam family "Bacterial small subunit ribosomal RNA", at positions 28 to 507 of the family's 1533-position model. The record is from RNAcentral.